CAGUAGCCGCGGUAAUACGUAGGUGGCAAGCGUUGUCCGGAAUUAUUGGGCGUAAAGGGCUCGCAGGCGGUUUCUUAAGUCUGAUGUGAAAGCCCCCGGCUCAACCGGGGAGGGUCAUUGGAAACUGGGAAACUUGAGUGCAGAAGAGGAGAGUGGAACUCCACGUGUAGCGGUGGAAUGCGUAGAGACGUGGAGGAACACCAGUGGCGAAGGCGACUCUCUGGUCUGUAACUGACGCUGAGGAGCGAAAGCGUGGGGAGCGAACAGGAUUAGAUACCCGAGUAGUCCCUGUCUCUUAUAC
This 301-nucleotide ribosomal RNA is filed under the name uncultured bacterium. RNAcentral's name for it is "partial 16S ribosomal RNA". It matches the Rfam family "Bacterial small subunit ribosomal RNA", at positions 509 to 807 of the family's 1533-position model. The record is from RNAcentral.